AUAUCAAUAAGCGGAGGAGAAGAAAUUAACUAAGAUUGCCCUAGUAACGGCGAGUGAAGCGGCAAAAGCCCAAACUGGAAAUCUAGUAUUUAUAAUACUCGAAUUGUAGUCUAAAGAAUGUGUACUCAAAGAUGAUGAUGCAGAAGUGAUCACGAACGAUCCACCAAAGAGGGUGAAAGUCCCGUAUGUGGUAUCAUUAUCAAACGAGUAUAUGUUUAAAGCGUCGGGUUGUUUUGUAUUGCAGCCCUAAGUGGGAGGUAAAUCCCAUCUAAGGCUAAAUAUUGGCGAGACCGAUAGCGCACAAGUA
RNAcentral lists this ribosomal RNA (307 nucleotides) under uncultured eukaryote. RNAcentral describes it as "partial large subunit ribosomal RNA". It matches the Rfam family "Eukaryotic large subunit ribosomal RNA", at positions 40 to 350 of the family's 3401-position model. The record is from RNAcentral.